Molecule: long non-coding RNA, 1075 nt
Organism: Myxocyprinus asiaticus (Chinese sucker)
Lineage: Eukaryota; Metazoa; Chordata; Actinopteri; Cypriniformes; Catostomidae
Exons: 3
Source: RefSeq, a predicted model, not a curated record
CUGGGGCCGAAACCCGGGAAGGAGAAGGGAUGCGCCGUAGUAGAGUCCUCACCACUACCAUCCACCCCAAUGGAGCAGCCACAGUCAUCCGCCAGGGGACGGAGGAGCCGGCCGCCUGAGAGUGGAGGAAUGGCCGCCAACCGCGAGGGGAGGAGGGACUCCUAGCUGACCGCCUGGAGCAGUUAGGGCCGCUGCCAGGGGCGGAGCAGACCACUACCAGCCGCUGAAACGCGGCGGGGCGUUCCAUCUGCCAGGGGCCGGAGGACUGCCUCUGAUCUGCCUGGGGAGGCGUGGCUGUCAUUCACUAGAGGGUGGAGGAGUGGCCGAGGACCAGGCUCCGGCAUAUCGAAGAAGACGGGGAUGACCUGCAAGCAGACGGGACCGGAAGGGCCCAGGCCCACCCCGGCCCACCCUUGGCUACACCACUGUUAGGAAGGCAGCUCACAAGACAUCUCCAAGUUGUUAGUACAGAGUACAACAUCUCUACAGACUGUUUGUCAUGUUGCUGUGGCUGUGUGGGAUCCGUCGUCUGGUUAAAUGUGUCUCUGGCUGGUUGAGAUCUGUCGUCUGUGCUCCACGGAGAUCAGUGUUGCCACGUUACUCUAUAAAAAAUCCCCAGUAGCGGGUUCUUAUGGGCCUUGAGGUCAAACCCCUGCGGGCUCUGUAUGUUUAUGAGGGAGGAACCUGUUUAAGGAAGACGCAGCCCUGUCUGUUUGCUCGGCACUGUUGUAGACUAUACGAAGGCCCAACCACAGAAACUCAAAGGAGGAAUUGAGGCAAGUAUGUGGUUCAAUAUUGACCUCAACUGAAGCUUGACCAGGUGAGAUGUGUAUGGGUUUAAAACAGUGUAGUAUGUAAGUAAUUUAUUUGUUAGAUUGAAGUUAAAUUUAUAGCCAUUUUGCUCUUACUUUUUCUUUAUAUUUUCUUUGUUUAUGUUUCUUAUAAAUAGGGCUGUAAAUGGAAAUAUUUUUUGGACAUUUAAAAAAAGAUGAUGUUGGGUGCAUUGAACUGUCAUGAACUGUAUAAAUGGCGAAAUAAAUAAAUGAAAAUUAAAUAAUACAGUAUAAUGUAUAAA